CGGCGAGACGAACUACAGGCGCCACGAACCGGAGCAAGGACUGAUCUCGCCUCAUAAUGAGGCGGUGACCUCGUAUUUGCUCCGGGAAAAGUCCAGAUUUAGACUACGUCAUUGUGUCCGCCUGUGAGACGUAUUGUGCAGGAGCUUCAGGUUCAGCCGGAACACUCAUUGCGGAGUUCAGCGCGGAGUCGAGCGAGAAGAAAGAGGCUGCUGGAAUCGAGACAAAGUGCGCUGGCUGAUGACGAGGUGGAACGCUGGAAAUCCGCCACCGUGGAGCUCACGUCGGACGGAGAGGAUGGCGUUGUUGGCGGGGUCUCGGGGUGGAUUGUACGGUCGCCACACACACGAGGCGCCUGCACAACAGACCUGCCUCGGAAAACACGGCGCCAGUGACGGUCUACAACACCGAGGAGGCAAACGGACAGUUUACUGAGCUGUAGUUUUUAAACCGCCGUUACCCAAGUGUGGGCAGAUCCUCACUUUGUAUGUAGUUGUUGUUUGUAUGUUGUUAAUAAAGCUCUUU
This is a long non-coding RNA of Gasterosteus aculeatus aculeatus (three-spined stickleback), 523 nucleotides long. NCBI's taxonomy places the organism in Eukaryota, Metazoa, Chordata, Actinopteri, Perciformes, Gasterosteidae. The record is from Ensembl.